AUUGAACGCUGGCGGCAGGCCUAACACAUGCAAGUCGAGCGGAUGAAGGGAGCUUGCUCCUGGAUUCAGCGACGGACGGGUGAGUAAUGCCUAGGAAUCUGCCUGGUAGUGGGGGAUAACGUCCGGAAACGGGCGCUAAUACCGCAUACGUCCUGAGGGAGAAAGUGGGGGAUCUUCGGACCUCACGCUAUCAGAUGAGCCUAGGUCGGAUUAGCUAGUUGGUGGGGUAAAGGCCUACCAAGGCGACGAUCCGUAACUGGUCUGAGAGGAUGAUCAGUCACACUGGAACUGAGACACGGUCCAGACUCCUACGGGAGGCAGCAGUGGGGAAUAUUGGACAAAGGGCGAAAGCCUGAUCCAGCCAUGCCGCGUGUGUGAAGAAGGUCUUCGGAUUGUAAAGCACUUUAAGUUGGGAGGAAGGGCAGUAAGUUAAUACCUUGCUGUUUUGACGUUACCAACAGAAUAAGCACCGGCUAACUUCGUG
Molecule: ribosomal RNA, 484 nt
Filed under: uncultured bacterium
Lineage: Bacteria
Description: partial 16S ribosomal RNA
Rfam family: Bacterial small subunit ribosomal RNA
Source: RNAcentral